RNAcentral lists this ribosomal RNA (253 nucleotides) under uncultured bacterium. Its description in RNAcentral is "partial 16S ribosomal RNA". It matches the Rfam family "Bacterial small subunit ribosomal RNA", at positions 524 to 776 of the family's 1533-position model. The record is from RNAcentral.
UACGGAGGGAGCUAGCGUUGUUCGGAAUUACUGGGCGUAAAGCGUACGUAGGCGGUUAUUCAAGUCAGAGGUGAAAGCCCGGGGCUCAACCCCGGAACGGCCUUUGAAACUAGGUAGCUAGAGUCUUGGAGAGGUUAGUGGAAUUCCGAGUGUAGAGGUGAAAUUUGUAGAUAUUCGGAAGAACACCAGUGGCGAAGGCGACUAACUGGACAAGUACUGACGCUGAGGUACGAAAGCGUGGGGAGCAAACAGG